AAGACUUCCAGUUUGGUGUGGCGCCAUUUCCAUUCCAAUUUUCUGGAAGCUUGCUUCAGAGCUCGUGUAUUUUCUGUAUACCAGGGAGCUAGUUUCUUAUGACAAAUGUUUUUAGUUUUUAGGGGUGCAACUGCAUCUAGGGUAUUGCGCAAGGUUAAAUUGAGUUCCCCGGUUAGGUGGUUAACUGAUUUUUGUCCUCUGACGUCCUUGGGUAGGCAGAGGGAGUCUGGAAGGGCAUCAAGGAAUCUUUGGGUUGUCUGAGAAUUUAUAGCACGACUUUUAAUGCUUCUUGGUUGGGGUCUGAGCAGAUUAUUUGUUGCGAUUGCGAACGUAAUAAAAUGGUGGUCCGAUUGUCCAGGAUUAUGAGGAAAAACAUUAAGAUCCACAACAUUUAUUCCAUGGGACAAAACUAGGUCCAGAGUAUGACUGUGGCAGUGAGUAGGUCAAGGGACAUGUUGGAAAAAACCCACUGAGUCGAUGAUGGCUCCAAAAGCCUUUUGGAGUGGGUCUGUGGACUUUUCCAUGUGAAUAUUAAAGUCACCAAAAAUUAGAAUAUUAUCUGCGAUGACUACAAGGUCCGAUAGGAACUCAGUGAGGAACGCUGCAUAUGGCCCAGGAGGCCUGUAAACAGUAGCUAUAAAAAGUGAUUGAGUAGGCUGCAUAGAUUUCAUGAAUAGAAGCUCAAAAGACGAAAACGUCGUUGUUGUUUUUUGGGGGGUAAAUUUAAAUUUGCUAUCAUAAAUGUUAGCAAUACCUCCGCCUUUGCGGGAUGCGCGGGGGAUAUGGUCACUAGUGUAACCAGGGGGUGAGGCCUCAUUUAACACAGUAAAUUCAUCAGGCUUAACCCAUGUUUCAGUCAGGCCAAUCACAUCAAGAUUAUGAUCAGUGAUUAGUUAAUUGACUAUAACUGCCUUUGAAGUGAGGGAUCUAACAUUAAGUAGUCCUAUUUUGAGAUGUGAGGUAUCACAAUCUCUUUCAAUAAUGGCAGGAAUGGAGGAGGUCUUUAUACUAGUGAGAUUGGUAAAGCGAACACCGCCAUCUUUAAUUUUGCCCAACCUAGAUCGAGGCACAGACACGGUCUCAAUGGGGAUAGCUGAGCUGACUACACUGACUGUGCUAGUGGCAGACUCCACUAAGCUGGCAGGCUGGCUAACAGUCUGCUGCCUGGCCUGCACCCUAUUUCAUUGUGGAGCUAGAGGAGUUAGAGCCCUGUCUAUGUUCGUAGAUAAGAUGAGAGCACCCCUCCAGCUAGGAUGGAGUUCGUCACUCCUCAACAGGCCAGGCUUGGUCCUGUUUGUGGGUGAGUCCCAGAAAGAGGGCCAAUUAUCUACAAAUUCUAUCUUUUGGGAGGGGCAGAAAACAGUUUUCAACCAGCGAUUGAGUUGUGAGACUCUGCUGUAGAGCUCAUCACUCCCCCUAACUGGGAGGGGGCCAGAGACAAUUAAUCGAUGCCGACAGCUACGAAGAAUACAGAUGAAAACUCUCUCUUACCAGAUGCAACUGUUCUGUCCUGCCGGUACAUCUUCUAACCAGCCAGCUGUAUAUUGAUAUUGUCGUCAUUCAGCCACGACUCCAUGAAGCAUAAAAUGUUAGUUUUUAAUGUCCUGUUGGUAGUUUUAUCUUCCGCGUAACUUGUAGAUUUUAUUCUCCCAAGGAUUGCACGUUUGCUAGCAGAAUGGAGGAAAGUGGGGGAUUAUUCGAUCACCUACGAAUUCUCAGAAGGCAGCCCGCCCUUAAGGCUUCUUCGGCUCAGAGCCCAAGGUCCUCUUCUCCUACAAGUGUCAGGUGGACGAGCCUGACGACCAGACGGAUGUCCACCUGCCCCCCACCUCAGGCCUGGGCCACAAGGAGCAGCUGGAACAGGGCUCCUUCUACCCCGGCACCCAGAUAGAUGGCCUGACUGCUGCAACCAUGGGCACCGGCAUAGCUGCUUACCUGGACGAUGUGGCCUCUGGUCCUUUCAACAGCGACCGCUGGAGAGCCAUCAAUGCCUGAGAGGAGAGGAAAUGAAAAGGCAGGAUAGGGGAUAUUGGACUUGUUGAGUGGAGAAGUUGGAGUUUGCUAUGGCACUCUCUCCCUCCGGAGACACUGUGAAUUGACUCUCAUUUCAGCGCCUGUCUGUUCUCCAUUUUGGAUCUUGCUGCCUUGUCCAUUCUGGCUCAAACAUGACAUUUUCCCCCAAUACCUGCAGGGGAUAUUUCUACAACUUCAGUCAAGUAUUAUCCCCCCUGUAAAUUAGUGUGUGGCUGACCAAGAUAAGAAGAUAAUGUAAAGGUAAUGUCCGAUACAUUUCCAUCGAAGGAUUACAACUGAGGUAAAGUCCAUUAACUGUGGCCUUGUAUUAGAUUUGUAAUCGUCUUGUAUUGAAUAACUGCCUCACUCCCUAUAGGCCAGCCCUGUUCUUAUCGCGCUAGGAGCCUUCUCUAAAUUACAUCACUCAUAAUGAAUCAAGUGUGCUUAAUUAUUUUUUUAAUGUUUGAUAUCAGUGCUUUUUUUCCCCCUCUUGUUGAUGAUCGAAAUCCUACAGUGUAACGUCAUGUAGAAAUUGAAGACCUGUUUGGCUUGAGUCUACAUUUUACAUUUACAUUUUAGUCAUUUAGCAGACGCUCUUAUCCAGAGCGACUUACAGUAAUGAAUGCAUACAUUUCAUGCAUUUUUUUUUUUGUACUGCCCCCCCGUGGGAAUCGAACCCACAACCCUGGUGUUGCACACACCAUGCUCUACCAACUGAGCCACAGGGAAUGCCGGGACUUGGUAUGCCAUGUCAGACAAUUAGCAGUGAUUAACUGGUAUCUAUGUAACUUGCUGCUGGGGCUGGGAGAGACCCAAAAUGGAUGCCAUGCCGCACCCAUGUCGCCUCUACCUAUUUUAUGUUAUUGUUUGGCGUCGGUUUUAGUUAUUUUAGUGACUGCUUGGUUUUAUGUCGAUCGGUAGUUCCAUCAGCUGAUCAUUCCUGGUAUUAAAGGUGCUUAUGACUUAAGUAAAACUUUCCAACCACCAAUCAAAUGAGAUGGAGAAGGCAGGAACAGCACUUGUGGCGAAACAAUGUAUUUUGUGGACAUUUUUAUUUCAAGAAAUAUUCAUGCCCAUAUACAUUGGAUUCAACUGAAAAGUGAGGUUAUUUUAACGACUUGAAAUUUGUUUUCACUAUAUGAAAUUAUUGAUGAAGUCAACUUAUGGGGUUUCCCUUGUGUUCUUUAUAGUCAACCCUGCAUUCAUCACAAAGAAAGAGCAACUUUUAAACAAAGUCCAUCUGAUUGCUCAUGGUGCUCAACGCAAACUAAAUACCAAUUUUCAUGAAGCCCUACUUCCUUGUCUUAAUUCCUACUUGUAUGUCUGCUGUGAACUUAGUUGCCCACAACACAUGGCUUGCUGGGAAAGAAAUUCUAUUGGUGGCUGAAAACAAUGUAAUUCCAGUUUGUGUGAAUUACGAUGUCACUUUUUUGAUUUUAGUUUUGUUUAUGCCCCUCUUGAUUUUGUCACUGAUAUUCAUUCCCCUAACGAUUAAUGUUAUGUUUGCUAUGAUAAAAUGUGAAGUGGGUGAAGUUAUUCAUGUGACAUUAUAGCAUCCAGUGGAGGCUAGUGAGGGGAGGAUGGUUCAUCAUAAUGGCUGGAACAGAGUAAAUGGAAAAGCGUCAAACACAUGGAAACCAUGUGUUUGAUGUAUUUUAUUCCAGUCAUUACCACGAGCCCGUUCUGCCCAAUUUAAGGUGUCACCAACCUACUAGGAUAGCAUCACUACGUAUUAUAAGAGACAUUUAUUUUUUUCAUAAGCGUAUGCCACCACAAAACAAGCAUUUUAUAUUGUCAUUGUAGUAUUUUAUACAAGUCUUCUGCUUUGCUCUUCCCAAUACCUGCCCUGCAUCAACAGACUGUUGCUUGCUCUCAAACACUGCCUUAUAUUUCUAGAGAAAUGUCGGAAGAGUUGCGUUUGAGGUACAAAAUUAUACUAUACUCAAAUCAUCAUGAAUAAGGUCUCUGGGUGUGGGUUUCAAAUGCAAGUGCAGUCAUGUUAAAUAUUGAAUAUAAUAUUUAAGAUGGUAAAUGAAAGAACUUUGAAAAAGAGUGAGGAUACUUGAUGCCAGCAAUUUGUGAACAAUUUAUAGCUCAAUGAUACACUAUUAAAUUAAAAUAAAAGAACGGUGUUUCAGCAUUCCAUGAGAGACUAUUAAAAUAUGCUUCCUUUUCAUUCCUAUAGCCUGCCCAUAUGUAUUUUCUUUGGACUGUGUCUCCCCUUGGUGUUUUGUUGUGGUAUUGCAUAUGGAAAGUGGUCCCAGUAAAUGUUUCAGUUGUGCAUGGCAUGCAGUGUUUCAGUUGUCUGGGGUUAGCCAAAGCUGAAUGUAUGGCACACAAUUUUAUAUAUAUUUUGGACUAACCAAUCAUCUUUCUUGUACAAACAUGCACAACAUUUGGAGAUUUAGAUUUCUGGGAGGCAGGGGAUGACUACAGAGGUACAAUUCCCAGCCCCUUUAUGGUCGCCUAUGAUGUGUGAUAAAAUGUAAUUGCAUUCUGAUUAUUUUAUCCACCUAUACUGUGGAGAAUACUGCAUGUCCUGGAAAAGUGACCUUUCCUUUUGGAGGCCCUAAGCAAGAUUUGGUUUGAAGGGGGGGGGUCACUUCACAAGCAGAAUAUUUUAGUGCCCCCCCCUCUUGAUGGUGGAGAGAGACAUUGUUUUUGAAGUACAUUUCCUGUAAUUCUACACAUUUUGCCAUGGGGUCCCACAUGACAAAAUUCUAUAGUAUAUUUUCGUAUAAAUACAGAGA
RNAcentral lists this long non-coding RNA (4763 nucleotides) under Salmo salar (Atlantic salmon). RNAcentral describes it as "lncRNA (ENSSSAG00000113461.1)". The record is from RNAcentral. Lineage: Eukaryota; Metazoa; Chordata; Actinopteri; Salmoniformes; Salmonidae.